This is a non-coding RNA of Xylaria longipes, 81 nucleotides long. The record is from the annotation of a GenBank genome assembly. Lineage: Eukaryota; Fungi; Ascomycota; Sordariomycetes; Xylariales; Xylariaceae.
GGCCUGGUGGCCUAAUGGCUAAGGCGUUGCUUUCCGGUAUGGAAUUGGCAAAGAUUGUGGGUUCGAGUCCCGUCUGGGUCG